AACCGCGGUUAGACGAGAGGCUCAAGUUGAUGAUACACGGCGUAAAGGGUGGUUAAGGGAAACUUUAUAAUAAAGAUGAACGGUCCUUCGGCUGUCAUACGCCUCUAGAGACUUGAAACCCAUAGCGCAAAGAUACUUUAGAAUAGUCAACCUGACCCCACGAGAGCUAAGAAA
RNAcentral lists this ribosomal RNA (174 nucleotides) under Esomus metallicus (striped flying barb). Its description in RNAcentral is "partial 12S rRNA". Lineage: Eukaryota; Metazoa; Chordata; Actinopteri; Cypriniformes; Danionidae. The record is from RNAcentral.